This 346-nucleotide ribosomal RNA is filed under the name uncultured eukaryote. RNAcentral's name for it is "SSU rRNA". It matches the Rfam family "Eukaryotic small subunit ribosomal RNA", at positions 594 to 945 of the family's 1831-position model. The record is from RNAcentral.
AUAGCGUAUAUUAAAGUUGUUGUGGUUAAAAAGCUCGUAGUUGAACCUUGGGCCUGGCUGGCCGGUCCGCCUCACCGCGUGUACUGGUCCGGCCGGGUCUUUCCCUCUGUGGAACCCCAUGCCCUUCACUGGGUGUGGCGGGGAAACAGGACUUUUACUUUGAAAAAAUUAGAGUGCUCCAGGCAGGCCUUUGCUCGAAUACAUUAGCAUGGAAUAAUAAAAUAGGACGUGCGGUUCUAUUUUGUUGGUUUCUAGGACCGCCGUAAUGAUUAAUAGGGACAGUCGGGGGCAUCAGUAUUCAAUUGUCAGAGGUGAAAUUCUUGGAUUUAUUGAAGACUAACUACUG